GAAUAUUGGACAAUGGGGGGAACCCUGAUCCAGCCAUGCCGCGUGUGUGAAGAAGGCCUUUUGGUUGUAAAGCACUUUAAGCGUGGAGGCGGCUACCUAGAUUAAUACUUUAGGAUAGUGGCCGUUACUCGCAGAAUAAGCACCGGCUCACUCGUGGCCCGCAGCCGCGGUAAUACAGAGGGUGCGAGCGUUAAGCGGAGUUACUGGGCGUAAAGCGUGCGUAGGCGGCCAAUUAAGUCAAAUGUGAAAUCCCCGAGCUUAACUUGGGAAUUGCGUUCGAUACUGGUUGGCUAGAGUAUGGGAGAGGAUGGUAGAAUUCCAGGUGUAGCGGUGAAAUGCGUAGAGAUCUGGAGGAAUACCGAUGGCGAAGGCAGCCAUCUGGCCUAAUACUGACGCUGAGGUACGAAAGCAUGGGGAGCAAACAG
This 425-nucleotide ribosomal RNA is filed under the name uncultured bacterium. Its description in RNAcentral is "partial 16S ribosomal RNA". It matches the Rfam family "Bacterial small subunit ribosomal RNA", at positions 359 to 775 of the family's 1533-position model. The record is from RNAcentral.